UACGUAGGUGGCAAGCGUUGUUCGGAAUUAUUGGGCGUAAAGGGCGCGUAGGCGGUUUGUUAAGUCGGUCGUGAAAGCCCGGGGCUCAACCCCGGAGGGUCGACCGAUACUGGCAGACUAGAGUACAGAAGAGGUAACUGGAAUUCCCGGUGUAGUGGUGAAAUGCGUAGAUAUCGGGAGGAACACCAGUGGCGAAGGCGACUACCUGGCCUGUUCUUGACGCUGAGGCGCGAAAGCUAGGGGAGCAAACGGG
RNAcentral lists this ribosomal RNA (253 nucleotides) under uncultured bacterium. RNAcentral's name for it is "partial 16S ribosomal RNA". It matches the Rfam family "Bacterial small subunit ribosomal RNA", at positions 524 to 776 of the family's 1533-position model. The record is from RNAcentral.